Molecule: ribosomal RNA, 714 nt
Filed under: Salmonella enterica
Lineage: Bacteria; Pseudomonadati; Pseudomonadota; Gammaproteobacteria; Enterobacterales; Enterobacteriaceae
Description: partial 23S ribosomal RNA
Rfam family: Bacterial large subunit ribosomal RNA
Source: RNAcentral
UUCUAACGUGGACCCGUUACCCGGGUUGCGGACAGUGUCUGGUGGGUAGUUUGACUGGGGCGGUCUCCUCCUAAAGAGUAACGGAGGAGCACGAAGGUUGGCUAAUCCUGGUCGGACAUCAGGAGGUUAGUGCAAUGGCAUAAGCCAGCUUGACUGCGAGCGUGACGGCGCGAGCAGGUGCGAAAGCAGGUCAUAGUGAUCCGGUGGUUCUGAAUGGAAGGGCCAUCGCUCAACGGAUAAAAGGUACUCCGGGGAUAACAGGCUGAUACCGCCCAAGAGUUCAUAUCGACGGCGGUGUUUGGCACCUCGAUGUCGGCUCAUCACAUCCUGGGGCUGAAGUAGGUCCCAAGGGUAUGGCUGUUCGCCAUUUAAAGUGGUACGCGAGCUGGGUUUAGAACGUCGUGAGACAGUUCGGUCCCUAUCUGCCGUGGGCGCUGGAGAACUGAGGGGGGCUGCUCCUAGUACGAGAGGACCGGAGUGGACGCAUCACUGGUGUUCGGGUUGUCAUGCCAAUGGCACUGCCCGGUAGCUAAAUGCGGAAGAGAUAAGUGCUGAAAGCAUCUAAGCACGAAACUUGCCCCGAGAUGAGUUCUCCCUGAGACUUAGAGUCUCCUGAAGGAACGUUGAAGACGACGACGUUGAUAGGCCGGGUGUGUAAGCGCAGCGAUGCGUUGAGCUAACCGGUACUAAUGAACCGUGAGGCUUAACCUUACA